GAGUUUGAUCAUGGCUCAGAUUGAACGCUGGCGGCAUGCCUUACACAUGCAAGUCGAACGGCAGCAUGAUCUAGCUUGCUAGAUUGAUGGCGAGUGGCGAACGGGUGAGUAAUACAUCGGAACGUGCCCUGUAGUGGGGGAUAACUAGUCGAAAGAUUAGCUAAUACCGCAUACGACCUGAGGGUGAAAGUGGGGGACCGCAAGGCCUCAUGCUAUAGGAGCGGCCGAUGUCUGAUUAGCUAGUUGGUGGGGUAAAGGCCCACCAAGGCGACGAUCAGUAGCUGGUCUGAGAGGACGAUCAGCCACACUGGGACUGAGACACGGCCCAGACUCCUACGGGAGGCAGCAGUGGGGAAUUUUGGACAAUGGGCGAAAGCCUGAUCCAGCAAUGCCGCGUGUGUGAAGAAGGCCUUCGGGUUGUAAAGCACUUUUGUCCGGAAAGAAAUGGCUCUGGUUAAUACCUGGGGUCGAUGACGGUACCGGAAGAAUAAGGACCGGCUAACUACGUGCCAGCAGCCGCGGUAAUACGUAGGGUCCAAGCGUUAAUCKGAAUUACUGGGCGUAAAGCGUGCGCAGGCGGUUGUGCAWGACCGAUGUGAAAUCYCCGAGCUUAACUUGAGAAUUGYAUUGGUGACUGCACGGGYUAGAGUGUGUYAGAG
This 659-nucleotide ribosomal RNA is filed under the name uncultured beta proteobacterium. Its description in RNAcentral is "bacterial SSU rRNA". Lineage: Bacteria; Pseudomonadati; Pseudomonadota; Betaproteobacteria. The record is from RNAcentral.